Molecule: long non-coding RNA, 294 nt
Filed under: Salvia miltiorrhiza (redroot sage)
Lineage: Eukaryota; Viridiplantae; Streptophyta; Magnoliopsida; Lamiales; Lamiaceae
Description: long non-coding RNA (SMIL_LNC009777)
Source: RNAcentral
GACGAAUCACCCGGAGUUUGAAGAUGUUGUAAAGAAAGUGUGGACGGGGACUGACUGUCAGGGAUGGAGCUUUUUCGUGGUUAAGGAGAAAUUGAAAAAACUUCGCGAGGCUUUAAAAGUUUGGAAUCGCACAUCCUUUGGUGAGAUUGAUUCUAAAAUUCAUGAAUUAAAGAAGGAGUUACAACAGAAAGAUGAGCUUGACGAGCAGAGUUGUUUAGGCGAAGUGGAUGUUAUCAGGAGAAAUGAGCUCCAAGCUCUCCUUUCCCUUCAGCUGAAGCAUAAGCAGAUGACUUU